RNAcentral lists this ribosomal RNA (380 nucleotides) under uncultured eukaryote. RNAcentral describes it as "partial 18S ribosomal RNA". It matches the Rfam family "Eukaryotic small subunit ribosomal RNA", at positions 592 to 976 of the family's 1831-position model. The record is from RNAcentral.
CAAUAGCGUAUAUUAAAGUUGUUGCAGUUAAAAAGCUCGUAGUUGGAUUUCUGGUUGAAGCGACCGGUCGGGCGUUGAUUCGUCUGCACUGGAGUCGGUUUUGGCCAUCCUCUAGGAAAGUGCGUCUGGUAUUAAGUUAUCGGGCGUAUGAUCCUGGUCUUUUACUGUGAAAAAAUUAGAGUGUUUAAAGCAGGCUUUCGCUUGAAUACAUUAGCAUGGAAUAAUAAGAUAGGACUUUGGUGCUAUUUUGUUGGUUGAGCCUAAAGUAAUGAUUAAUAGGGAUAGUUGGGGGCACCUGUAUUGCGUUGUCAGAGGUGAAAUUCUUGGAUUUACGCAAGACAAACAGCUGCGAAAGCGUCUGCCAAGGAUGUUUUCAUUAA